Pelobates cultripes (western spadefoot toad) is the source of this 248-nucleotide non-coding RNA. The record is from the annotation of a GenBank genome assembly. Lineage: Eukaryota; Metazoa; Chordata; Amphibia; Anura; Pelobatidae.
AUGUGUAAGGGGGUGCAGGGUUUUUAUGUUAAGGAGGUGUAUGAACUUUGUGUAAAGGGGGUGCAGGGUUUUUUAUUUAUUUAUUUUUUAAAUUGUUUAUUUUUGUAGUGCACGUAUAUAAUACAGGCAUGCUUGAGGUGCCCCGAAAGCAAUCCUCAGGCUUUUCCCACGCUUAAAAUGCGGGGUGUACGAAUAACUGGCACAAUUUUUAUGCUUUAUCAGGCUCAAUUAACAUAACAUUAAAUAAU